CCAUAACGCAGUAUAAAGUGUGUAAAUUUUUGGCAUAAUUCCUGUUUAGUUAUUUCUUGACAAAAAUGUCAUUCGCACAAAAACUAUUACAACAUUAAAUUAUAAAUACAAAAUCACGCGACUUCACACGCGACUCGUCACGUUGGUGUUGUAUAGGUCCCAGUUUAUAGCCUCAUGGUUUUCUCAGAGCCGAUAGUAUGUGGAAAAUGCUACCAGUCCAACCAGGAUGCCAACCAUGGUUUCGACACGGUUGGUCGGGCAGAUGGUGAUAACAUUGUUGACUUCGCCUUUUUUUGGAUCUAUCAAUCAGAAAACGCGAGCGAGCGCAUGAUUGCUUCUUAAUACUUUUAAUGUUUUUUGUAUUUAGUAUCUUUAUUCUUGAAUCAGAUUUAAAUAAUAAACACUCACAAGACUUAUGAUACCAA
Dalotia coriaria is the source of this 425-nucleotide long non-coding RNA. RefSeq lists it as uncharacterized. The transcript is spliced from 2 exons. The record is from RefSeq and is a predicted model, not a curated record. NCBI's taxonomy places the organism in Eukaryota, Metazoa, Arthropoda, Insecta, Coleoptera, Staphylinidae.